GAUAAACGCUGACAGAAUGCUUAACACAUGCAAGUCGAUGAUGGGAGCUAGCUUGCUAGAAGAAGUCAUGGCGGACGGGUGAGUAACGUGUAAAGAACUUACCAUAUAGACUGGGAUAACAGAGGGAAACUUCUGAUAAUACUGGAUAAGUUAGUAGUAGCAUUACUAAGUAAUGAAAGGUAGCAAUACGCUAUAUGAGAGCUUUGCAUCCUAUUAGCUAGUUGGUGGGGUAAAAGCCUACCAAGGCGAUGAUAGGUAGCCGGCCUGAGAGGGUGGACAGCCACAAGGGGACUGAGAUACGGCCCUUACUCCUACGGGAGGCAGCAGUGGGGAAUAUUGGACAAUGGAGGCAACUCUGAUCCAGCAAUUCUGUGUGUGUGAAGAAGGUUUUAGGACUGUAAAACACUUUUAGUAGGGAAGAAAGAAAUGACGGUACCUACAGAAGAAGCGACGGCUAAAUACGUG
This 465-nucleotide ribosomal RNA is filed under the name uncultured bacterium. RNAcentral describes it as "partial 16S ribosomal RNA". It matches the Rfam family "Bacterial small subunit ribosomal RNA", at positions 28 to 507 of the family's 1533-position model. The record is from RNAcentral.